RNAcentral lists this transfer RNA (77 nucleotides) under Deltaproteobacteria bacterium CG_4_8_14_3_um_filter_45_9. RNAcentral describes it as "tRNA-Asn". It matches the Rfam family "tRNA". From Rfam's summary of the family: Transfer RNA (tRNA) molecules are approximately 80 nucleotides in length. Their secondary structure includes four short double-helical elements and three loops (D, anti-codon, and T loops). Lineage: Bacteria; Deltaproteobacteria. RNAcentral also lists the same sequence under 5 other names. The record is from RNAcentral.
UCCCCGGUAGCUCAACCGGUAGUAGCGGGUGGCUGUUAACCACUAGGUUGCAGGUUCGAGUCCUGCCCGGGGAGCCA